CCGUCUUCUGCCGCCCCUCCUCAUCUAGAGCCAGGCUGUGGACGAAGGUCGGUAGGCAGCAGCGGCCGGCGUACCAGGCCCGCUCUUUCCGGCUCCUGGCCUCCCUCACCGGUGUCGGCUCCGUGCUGCAGCCGGAGCUGGGCUCCGACACAGACUUCCCAGCUGCUGCAGCGACGGACUGCUGUCCGCUCUUGCUGCUGUCUGGCUCUCCGGCAGCGGCAGCGGCGGCACUCUCUCCGGUGUCGUUCCGCGUCGCCUCUUGCAGUAGGUCGGCUAGUUUUCUCCGUCCGGUCGGAGAAGCCUCUGAAGAAUUGGGCUGUGCGCGGCAUUGUCAGGUAGAAAGACGUUGCUCAUCACGGUCUACGUCCUGGGUUGAUGGACCGGAGUGCUGCCGCGGGACGGACUGAAAUCUGCAUAGCAUGAAGAGGAUAUCUUAUGGUUAAGCGUGUCGCAGGGGCUGGAGACCUGAAGCUACCACAUGAUCUGGCAGUUGAAGAUCUAGUUAUCAGCGGCGGCCGCUACAAAUUCUAUCCUCUGCUGCAGAUCAUCGCCAAGUCCUACAGCCUGGGUCAUCUCCAUCACCAACGCCUACAGCUUGGGUCUGAACCGCUCUUCUCUACUUCAUGUUUACUGAAUUUACUGAAUGUGCGUAGUCUCUGAACCACUUCUUCCCUGAUUACUGAAUUUUAGUGAAUGUGAGAUGUACUCUUGUAAACUGAGAUGUACCCUAGUAAAGUGUGCUGUCAACAUCACUUCUAGUUUAACUGAAGCAAGCAUACAUCUCUGUCCAGUGUUAGCUAAGGGCUAAGAUAUCUCUGUCCAGUGUUAGCUAAGAGCUAAGAUAUCUCUGUCCAGUAUUAGCUUAGAGAUUGUUGCAAGGAGACAUAUCUAUCCAGUGUUAGCUAAAUUCUCUUGGUCUCACAAUUGGUCUAUCUAUGCGUUGGUCUAUCUAUGCGUUGUCCAAUGAAAAUAUGCAUACACUGUACAGCAACAUAUUGAAAACAUUCGUGUUUCAAUAUAACUGAAUUUUCUGUUACAUACACUCUACACUUCUUCUUUAGCUGAAUUUUCUGUUACAUACACUCUGCAUUUCUGCUUUAACUGAAUUAAUUUUUCAGCUUUUGUACAGCAGCAUACUGAAAACAUUCACAUAUUGACAAAUCAUGACAUUACAAUCUGAUAAAUCAUGCUUGCAAAAUCUGACCAUUUACAUAGUGAACAGAAUUUCAUUUAACAGUAUAUUCAUAGUGAGCUAGCCCCAGCUUGUUGCCCUUAUGGCAGCAAUGAUGAAAUCUUGACCAUUCAUCACCAUGUUUCUUUGAAGAAAGCAAGGAAGAAAAUUUAAAACAAAAGGGCCCAAGAAGGUUCGAACUGAUGACCUUCUGAUCUGCACACAAAUUACAAUUUCUGAAACUGUCAUACACAGGAAUUCUGCACGCCAUCCAAAUUGAUCACUGUGAAAUUUGUCAGUUACAAAUUCUGCACACAAAUCAACAGUGAAGUGAUUGAUUCCUCCCUGUGUUAAUUCUGCUAUACACUAGCCCUGUGAAGUGAUUUAUGGUUACUUCAAAAACAGAAACAAAAUGAUUGUUUCCAAUAAUACUGGAACCAAUUUGUCAGUAGCAAUUUCCUGCCUUGAUUACUUCAAAACAGCAACAAUUUCCUCCCUUGAUUGACUGAAAAUUGGGCAGGUGAUAUUGAUCUGAGUAGGAUUUGAUUAAUUGUUCUCUGAAUUGAUUGAUUCCUCCCUUGAUUGAUCUAGGCAGGUAAUAUUAGGCAGGAUUUGAUUAAUUAUUCUCGGAAUUGAUUGUCUCCUCCCUUAGUUGACUGAACUGAUGCAUAUGGCAGGAUUUGAUUGAUUGGGUAGGAAAAUUACCAACUCCUGCGGCGUCGUGGAAGGAACAGCGCCAGGGAAGGAGCAGCAGUGGCCCCUGCGCUGUCUGACGGACGGUCGAUAGUCGACAGCGUGCUUUGUGAGGUGCUUUGUGAGGUGUAGUGCGGGUUAUUUUGUGCUAAGGCGAGGGGGGUAAUUGCAAAAAGUGCGGCGCUGACCGGCUGUGCUGACUAGGCUCCACUUGUC
Molecule: ribosomal RNA, 2080 nt
Filed under: Triticum aestivum (bread wheat)
Lineage: Eukaryota; Viridiplantae; Streptophyta; Magnoliopsida; Poales; Poaceae
Description: partial small subunit ribosomal RNA
Source: RNAcentral